Molecule: ribosomal RNA, 761 nt
Filed under: Scedosporium boydii
Lineage: Eukaryota; Fungi; Ascomycota; Sordariomycetes; Microascales; Microascaceae
Description: eukaryotic LSU rRNA
Rfam family: Eukaryotic large subunit ribosomal RNA
Source: RNAcentral
CUAUAUGCGAGUGUACGGGUGUCAAACCCCUGCGCGUAAUGAAAGUGAACGGAGGUGAGAGCUUCGGCGCAUCAUCGACCGAUCCUGAUGUUCUCGGAUGGAUUUGAGUAAGAGCAUAUUGGGCCGGACCCGAAAGAAGGUGAACUAUGCCUGUGUAGGGUAAAGCCAGAGGAAACUCUGGUGGAGGCUCGCAGCGGUUCUGACGUGCAAAUCGAUCGUCAAACAUGGGCAUGGGGGCGAAAGACUAAUCGAACCUUCUAGUAGCUGGUUUCCGCCGAAGUUUCCCUCAGGAUAGCAGUGUUGAAUUUCUCAGUUUUAUGAGGUAAAGCGAAUGAUUAGGGACUCGGGGGCGCUUUUUAGCCUUCAUCCAUUCUCAAACUUUAAAUAUGUAAGAAGCCCUUGUUACUUCAUUGAACGUGGGCCUUCGAAUGUAUCAACACUAGUGGGCCAUUUUUGGUAAGCAGAACUGGCGAUGCGGGAUGAACCGAUCGCGGGGAUAAGGUGCCGGAGUGGACGCUCAUCAGACACCACAAAAGGUGUUAUCACAUCUAGACAGCAGGACGGUGGCCAUGGAAGUCGGAAUCCGCUAAGGACUGUGUAACAACUCACCUGCCGAAUGUGAUAGCCCUGAAAAUGGAUGGCGCUCAGGCGUCCCACCCAUACCCCGCCCUCAGGGUAGACACGAUGCCCUGAGGAGUAGGCGGACGUGGAGGUCAGUGACGAAGCCUAGGGCGUGAGCCCGGGUCGAACGGCCUCUAGUG